Molecule: transfer RNA, 73 nt
Filed under: Bucco macrodactylus
Lineage: Eukaryota; Metazoa; Chordata; Aves; Piciformes; Bucconidae
Description: tRNA-Phe
Source: RNAcentral
GUCCCCGUAGCUUAUAAGCCAAAAGCAUGGCUCUGAAGAUGCCAAGAAGGUUGCCCGCCACAUCCCAGGGACA